Molecule: long non-coding RNA, 1773 nt
Organism: Heterocephalus glaber (naked mole-rat)
Lineage: Eukaryota; Metazoa; Chordata; Mammalia; Rodentia; Bathyergidae
Source: Ensembl
AGUUAUAAAUCAAUGAGUCUCAGCAAGCCAGUCACAGACUCGUGAGAUUCAGGCAGAUUUCUGGCUGCAAGUCCCAGGUUGAGCUCCCUGUCCUCCUGAAGGGUUGAACUCUGCAAGGCUCUACUGCAGAUUCCAGCUGCCCUUCCCCUGAAGAUAGUCCAGGUUUCGAUGGGAGGUGAUGAUCUCUCUAGCUUACCAAGUACGGUGGUCUGGUGUGGCUUUAUUGCAGAUUCUCUUCACUUUUCCAGUGGGCUUCAGUUUUCAUCAGGGAGUCUGCGAGAGGCCCUCUCUCUGUUUUUCACUUCUGCAGCUCAGGACAAUGGCCUUUAUGCUCCCCUGUGCCUGUCAUGUGGAUCCAAAUAACUGUACAGCCAAGAGGUGGCGGUGGGGGGCUGUUUUUGCAGAUGCCCGUGUGGCCAAGCUGGAGGCUGGUGGGCAAGCCUGGAGGUCCUCCCAUUAACUUUUUUCUUUUGGUACUGGGAAUUGAACUUAGGACCUUGCACUUGCCAGGCAGGCCUGGUGUCACUGAGCUAUGUCCCUGGCCUGCUUCCAUUAACUUUUAACAAUGCUCAAUAAGGCCUUCAUCUAUCUUUUCCCUAUCUGAGGGGCCCCUCUGUGCCCUGGCUGGCUGCUUCCCUAAUGCCCAGCCGUUGCUUAUACAGGUUGUUCUCAAAUUUGGAAGAAACAGGAAGGGUGGUGGAAGGUUCUAGAAGACAUUGGAACAUUUGACUUUGUGGUGGAGACUAUUGUGAUGCAAACUCUGGCUCACUCUGUGUCCCUCAGGUAAGGAUGGGUGAGAGUCAUUUCAACCUAACCCAAUCCCUGGACAGCAGACUGUCCCGGCCAUAGAAGGUUCUGAGGAAGCAAACGCAGCAGUGGCACUUUCAGGAAGGGCAAGGAAGAUGCGAAUCCCUCUGAUGCUCCCGGUGGCAGGCAGCUGCUGCGCCUCUGUCCUCCUCUUCAACCCUGUUUUGGACGCAGGUCCCAUGUGUGUGUGAAGGACCUGGGAGGACUGCAGGUCACCCAGGUCAGAUGCCCAUCCCUCCUGCUUCCUGCGCCCCAUGGGAGCUGCUCACCGUGCACACCCUGCUCUGCCAGGUCACCUCCCACAGAGGCCCAAAGCCCAGGGCCACAGGAGCCAAAAUAAACCUCUGUUCCUGACAAAUUAAUCGCCUUGCCCCCUCCAUCCGCAUCUGAGAGCAGUCUGAGUACAACACAGGUCCUCCUCGUUUUUGUCUACUUUUGAACCUGAAGGGUAUUUGUGCUAAUUACUUUGUGUUUCUGAGAUAGGAUCUCUCUCUUUCAUUUUGCUGGCCUUGAACUAGCAAUGAUCCUCCUGCCUUAGCCUUCUGAGGGCUGGGAUUACAGUCCUACACCACCACACCCAAUUUGAAAAUUGUUUUUUUAACAGCUCAAAAGUAAGAUACCAGACUUUAAGUAGAAUGGUAGAAUCUUGAUGUUCUUUUGAAUCAGCAUCUUGGUUUACAGCUGUCCCUUUCUCUGAAAUGGAGCGAGCACCUUGUGAAUUUCCGUCUUCAUGUGACAUCACUUGGAACUCGGCCUGUGGAUUAAAUGUGGUCUGGGCGCAGGCCUGGGCUCAAGCGUCAAGUAAUGAUGAUGAGGAGAGAGACGUGGCAGGCUGGAGGCCUCAGCCCAGAGUCUUCACACGGAUUCUGAUCCUGAUUAAGAAUGUCCAGCUUUGCCGGAUGUGGCAGGGCACACCUGUGAUCUCAGCGCUUGGGAGGCUAAGACAGAAGAAUCACAAGUUCAAGG